UUAAGCGACUAAGCGUACACGGUGGAUGCCCUGGCAGUCAGAGGCGAUGAAGGACGUGCUAAUCUGCGAUAAGCGCCGGUAAGGUGAUAUGAACCGUUAUAACCGGCGAUUUCCGAAUGGGGAAACCCAGUGUGAUUCGUCACACUAUCAUUAACUGAAUCCAUAGGUUAAUGAGGCGAACCGGGGGAACUGAAACAUCUAAGUACCCCGAGGAAAAGAAAUCAACCGAGAUUCCCCCAGUAGCGGCGAGCGAACGGGGAGGAGCCCAGAGCCUGAAUCAGCAUGUGUGUUAGUGGAAGCGUCUGGAAAGGCGCGCGAUACAGGGUGACAGCCCCGUACACAAAAGCGCAUGUGUUGUGAGCUCGAUGAGUAGGGCGGGACACGUGGUAUCCUGUCUGAAUAUGGGGGGACCAUCCUCCAAGGCUAAAUACUCCUGACUGACCGAUAGUGAACCAGUACCGUGAGGGAAAGGCGAAAAGAACCCCGGCGAGGGGAGUGAAAAAGAACCUGAAACCGUGUACGUACAAGCAGUGGGAGCACAGGUUUACCUGUGUGACUGCGUACCUUUUGUAUAAUGGGUCAGCGACUUAUAUUCUGUAGCAAGGUUAACCGUAUAGGGGAGCCGCAGGGAAACCGAGUCUUAACCGGGCGUUAAGUUGCAGGGUAUAGACCCGAAACCCGGUGAUCUAGCCAUGGGCAGGUUGAAGGUUGGGUAACACUAACUGGAGGACCGAACCGACUAAUGUUGAAAAAUUAGCGGAUGACCUGUGGCUGGGGGUGAAAGGCCAAUCAAACCGGGAGAUAGCUGGUUCUCCCCGAAAGCUAUUUAGGUAGCGCCUCGUGAAUUCAUCUCCGGGGGUAGAGCACUGUUUCGGCUAGGGGGCCAUCCCGGCUUACCAACCCGAUGCAAACUGCGAAUACCGGAGAAUGUUAUCACGGGAGACACACGGCGGGUGCUAACGUCCGUCGUGAAGAGGGAAACAACCCAGACCGCCAGCUAAGGUCCCAAAGUCAUGGUUAAGUGGGAAACGAUGUGGGAAGGCCCAGACAGCCAGGAUGUUGGCUUAGAAGCAGCCAUCAUUUAAAGAAAGCGUAAUAGCUCACUGGUCGAGUCGGCCUGCGCGGAAGAUGUAACGGGGCUAAACCAUGCACCGAAGCUGCGGCAGCGAACGUAUCACUUAAAGCGAUUCAGCGGGUUACGAUUGACGGAGCGAAGCGACGUCAAAGCGUAUACAAAGUCGAGUCGGUUUAAGGAUACGUUCGUUGGGUAGGGGAGCGUUCUGUAAGCCUGUGAAGGUGGCCUGUGAGGGUUGCUGGAGGUAUCAGAAGUGCGAAUGCUGACAUAAGUAACGAUAAAGCGGGUGAAAAGCCCGCUCGCCGGAAGACCAAGGGUUCCUGUCCAACGUUAAUCGGGGCAGGGUGAGUCGACCCCUAAGGCGAGGCCGAAAGGCGUAGUCGAUGGGAAACGGGUUAAUAUUCCCGUACUUGGUGUUACUGCGAAGGGGGGACGGAGAAGGCUAUGUUGGCCGGGCGACGGUUGUCCCGGUUUAAGCGUGUAGGUGUGUGUUCCAGGUAAAUCCGGUUCACUUUAACACUGAGGCGUGAUGACGAGGCACUACGGUGCUGAAGCAACAAAUGCCCUGCUUCCAGGAAAAGCCUCUAAGCAUCAGGUAACAUCAAAUCGUACCCCAAACCGACACAGGUGGUCAGGUAGAGAAUACCAAGGCGCUUGAGAGAACUCGGGUGAAGGAACUAGGCAAAAUGGUGCCGUAACUUCGGGAGAAGGCACGCUGACAUGUAGGUGAAGUGAUUUACUCAUGGAGCUGAAGUCAGUCGAAGAUACCAGCUGGCUGCAACUGUUUAUUAAAAACACAGCACUGUGCAAACACGAAAGUGGACGUAUACGGUGUGACGCCUGCCCGGUGCCGGAAGGUUAAUUGAUGGGGUCAGCGCAAGCGAAGCUCCUGAUCGAAGCCCCGGUAAACGGCGGCCGUAACUAUAACGGUCCUAAGGUAGCGAAAUUCCUUGUCGGGUAAGUUCCGACCUGCACGAAUGGCGUAAUGAUGGCCAGGCUGUCUCCACCCGAGACUCAGUGAAAUUGAACUCGCUGUGAAGAUGCAGUGUACCCGCGGCAAGACGGAAAGACCCCGUGAACCUUUACUAUAGCUUGACACUGAACAUUGAGCCUUGAUGUGUAGGAUAGGUGGGAGGCUUUGAAGCGUGGACGCCAGUCUGCGUGGAGCCGGCCUUGAAAUACCACCCUUUAAUGUUUGAUGUUCUAACGUGGACCCGUGAUCCGGGUUGCGGACAGUGUCUGGUGGGUAGUUUGACUGGGGCGGUCUCCUCCUAAAGAGUAACGGAGGAGCACGAAGGUUGGCUAAUCCUGGUCGGACAUCAGGAGGUUAGUGCAAUGGCAUAAGCCAGCUUGACUGCGAGCGUGACGGCGCGAGCAGGUGCGAAAGCAGGUCAUAGUGAUCCGGUGGUUCUGAAUGGAAGGGCCAUCGCUCAACGGAUAAAAGGUACUCCGGGGAUAACAGGCUGAUACCGCCCAAGAGUUCAUAUCGACGGCGGUGUUUGGCACCUCGAUGUCGGCUCAUCACAUCCUGGGGCUGAAGUAGGUCCCAAGGGUAUGGCUGUUCGCCAUUUAAAGUGGUACGCGAGCUGGGUUUAGAACGUCGUGAGACAGUUCGGUCCCUAUCUGCCGUGGGCGCUGGAGAACUGAGGGGGGCUGCUCCUAGUACGAGAGGACCGGAGUGGACGCAUCACUGGUGUUCGGGUUGUCAUGCCAAUGGCACUGCCCGGUAGCUAAAUGCGGAAGAGAUAAGUGCUGAAAGCAUCUAAGCACGAAACUUGCCCCGAGAUGAGUUCUCCCUGAGACUUAAAGUCUCCUGAAGGAACGUUGAAGACGACGACGUUGAUAGGCCGGGUGUGUAAGCGCAGCGAUGCGUUGAGCUAACCGGUACUAAUGAACCGUGAGGCUUAACCUU
Molecule: ribosomal RNA, 2987 nt
Filed under: Salmonella enterica subsp. enterica serovar Derby
Lineage: Bacteria; Pseudomonadati; Pseudomonadota; Gammaproteobacteria; Enterobacterales; Enterobacteriaceae
Description: bacterial LSU rRNA
Rfam family: Bacterial large subunit ribosomal RNA
Source: RNAcentral